RNAcentral lists this ribosomal RNA (512 nucleotides) under uncultured bacterium. Its description in RNAcentral is "partial 16S ribosomal RNA". It matches the Rfam family "Bacterial small subunit ribosomal RNA", at positions 28 to 507 of the family's 1533-position model. The record is from RNAcentral.
GAUGAACGCUGGCGGCGUGCCUAAUACAUGCAAGUCGAACGAAACUUCUUUAUCACCGAGUGCUUGCACUCACCGAUAAAGAGUUGAGUGGCGAACGGGUGAGUAACACGUGGGCAACCUGCCCAAAAGAGGGGGAUAACACUUGGAAACAGGUGCUAAUACCGCAUAACCAUAGUUACCGCAUGGUAACUAUGUAAAAGGUGGCUAUACUACCGCUUUUGGAUGGGCCCGCGGCGCAUUAGCUAGUUGGUAGGGUAAAGGCUUACCAAGGCAAUGAUGCGUAGCCGAAUUGAGAGGUUGAUCGGCCACAUUGGGACUGAGACACGGCCCAAACUCCUACGGGAGGCAGCAGUAGGAAAUCUUCCACAAUGGGCGAAAGCCUGAUGGAGCAACGCCGCGUGGGUGAAGAAGGUCUUCGGAUCGUAAAACCCUGUUGUUAGAGAAGAAAGUGCGUGAGAGCAACUGUUCACGUUUCGACGGUAUCUAACCAGAAAGCCACGGCUAACUACGUG